Molecule: long non-coding RNA, 3710 nt
Filed under: Phascolarctos cinereus (koala)
Lineage: Eukaryota; Metazoa; Chordata; Mammalia; Diprotodontia; Phascolarctidae
Description: lncRNA (ENSPCIG00000000349.2)
Source: RNAcentral
AUGUCGUCCUUUUCGUCCCCCUACCCGUCUCUGAAGCCUGCGUGGUCCCUGCCAUCUGACCUCUGGCUCCUCAGAGAGCUUUCUUCAGACUCCAAAGCCAGUACUUUAAUUCUCUCAUCCUCCCCCACUGAGGUCCUAGUGCAGGGCCGAGGGGCUGCUGACCGGUUCCGUAAGAUGGCCAGAAUCCUAGCGCACAUCUGCGGGUUGACCCUGAGCUUGAAAAGAUAUAUUGGAAAUAGCCCAGCAGUACAGUGGGUGGCCUUCCAUUUGAAGAUACAAAAUAGAAUAAGAAAUGGAAUGUUAUUAAACAUCUUCACUGAAGCUAAAAUGAAUCUGACCAAGGAUUCUGCCAUACUUAAGAGUCUGUUAUCUGUUUGCCCACAUCGAAGAAGUGUAGAAGAUUUCAGACAAAUUCAAGAACAUUUAAAGAAGAACAUCUCAUUUCAGCAUUUGCCAAAUGAAGUCCAACUCCAACGUUGCCAAAUUGUAAUCUAUCAUGAGUACGAAGCUAAAAGUGUAAUUAUAAAGAAAGGACGCUGGCCAAUGGAAUGCUACUUUGUGCUUUCUGGAAAAUUAGCAGCUGUAUCAAGUUUAACAGCUGAAAAUUCCAACUCAGAAAUUAUAAGUGAAUUUGAAGAAGGAGACUUUGUAGGGGAAACUUGUCUGUUAACUAACACCCGCCGACCUACUACAAUUGUAUGCAAAUCAGAUGCAGAACUUCUGGUGAUAAGUAAGAAGAAAUUCUAAGACCAGCUUAGUUCCUGAUAACCUACCCCAAGCAGUGAGACAAGAUGGUGAAGCUCCGUUUAUUCAAGGUACAGGACAGCAUUUUAUAUCUUUGACUCAUGGGAACAUACCCCAAUGUAACAGCGGACAAAGCAACAAAGUUUACAUAUCUUUACCAAUAGGCAACACUGAGAAUUUUUCUCAUGCAAAUACCAAUCAAAGUAUCAACAAGCACAUUUCUUUGCAACAUUAUCGUGACUGUGUCCUUCUCCCGCGCUGUUCCCGUAAAGACACCAUGUACUUCUUGUUCCCAGAAUGUUCCCAUUACUUGAUAUGUGAGCUAGCAAUACUUGAUACAUAAGCUAGCAAUACUUGAUACAUAUUUGUGCUAGAGCUGACUGUGCUUGAGCUAGCAACAUUGUUUUAUAGUUUGAACUCGCCUAGCGUCAGAGUUUUGCUGACUGGGAGGUGCAAGGUCCGUGGACAGAGAACCGAGCCAGGACAUUCUGCUCAUGUACUAACACCCGAGAGGGGCCUUCGCCCAUCAGUGAAGUCUCAUGAACAGCCUGCGGACCUCAACGUCCUACAGAUCCCUAACAAUUCCCCUUUUUUGUUUUCAGUAUAUGCACAUCAGUAUAUAUAUUGUUUAACAGCGUGGUUAUACAUUUAAGUAAGCACGGGGUACAACAAAGCAAGAUAAGUACAAAAAGAAUAAUAGGAAUUACUACAGUCACAAUGGACAUGAUUAUAUGAGCCAUAUUGGAAAAGGCAGUUUUGAUCUUACCUAUCCAAUCUAUAAUAUGUUGUGCUGUUUUGUCCGGCAUUAGAUCCCUGUCGGCCGCAUGUGAAAUUUCUUGAGCCAAAUGGUAUAAGUCAUCGAUGUCCAAGGACAAUGUAGAAUUUUCAAACAAUCCAUUCAAAUGUCUACGUAUCCUCAUUCAGUCCCAUAGAGAUGAAUUAUACACAACAUUGGUAAGACACACAAAUUGAAACCCAUAAUCACAUUGUAAAUGAGUACGAUACUCAAGAAUAUCCAGUUCAUCACCUAUUUCAAUUAUUGUUUCUUUCAUACCCUCUAAGAUGUGAUAAAAUUCAGUAUCAAUACGUUUUUGUGUAGCAAAGCCUAUAGACAUAUUUUUUGCAAGUUCAUUCAAAAAUUCAACUUGAACAAUUUCAUUUUGAACAGUGGAAAUUGACAGUGCUAUAGAGACAGUAGAAGAAAUUAAAGCUAUGAAUGAAACAAUGCCCAAAACAACACAAGAGAUACACCUCUUUUCUUCUUAAACUAAUCACUUUUGUGUUCUAUAAUACCAAAAAUAUGAUCAGCCCUAGUAUGAUACCAUUCUUUGCUUUUCACAGGUAUAAGAGCAAAUUUCUGUUGUGUUAUGACAAAUAUCAAUUGAUCAUUUAUCUUCGACCCUAUGCAUUCUGACACACUACAAUUCAUACAAGUAAUAUUACAUUCACUGGAGUCCAAUUUUGUGAUAGUGAUGUUAUUUUCUUUUCCUCACAUGAAUGCGAAUUGUCCCAUUAAAUAAGCCUGAGCAUAGGAGACAUCGGAAAACGAUGCCGAUUCCUGUCUCUUCCAUGCUGAAGUUAAAUUGAUAGGCCCAAGUGCUGCCCAUGCCUUCCACAAUUGAUCUUCAACUUUACCAUUAGGCAAAACCCAAGCAGGUUUAGGAUAUCCCCCAAAGGCUGGGGAGUAGGUGUGACUGUCAUUAAUGUCUUUAGUAUAAUUAUGCCAGGAUUGUAAAGUUGUGCCAUUGAUGUUGAUACAAUGUCUUUCAGCAGUAACACAGUCCAACCAGGCUGGGUAUUCCUCCUUGUCUGGCCACAUAGCCAAAUAACAAGGAGAAUAUUUGGUAGGCCUCAUUAUCGGUGUGGAAUCGUCACACCGCUGUUCUUCGAUACCCAACAUCGUGAUGUUGAAAUGUUGAAAGUGCAUGAUAGAUUUUGUUGGCCCUGUCUCAUUAAAUUGAGUACCUUCAAAUCUAAAUGUAAGAUUCUUUAAUUGUACACAAAUAUUUUGAGUGUUAUUUGUCUUUGUGACACACAGUGGUGGAGCUAAAGCUAAUCCUGUAAAAUUAAACUUUAUUGUGGGUUUUGAAUUAUUGCCUGUUGAAACAAAAUUAAACUCUUUACCUAAUCCCUGUGAAGCAUUGCCUUGUAAUAUCACUUCUGGGAGAGUUUCUUCCCACAUAACUACCCUGGGCCAAGGUGGUUUUGUCACAAAAGCCCAUCUAGUUGUAUUCCCUUCAGCUACAGUUUGUGUUAUCUGCAAACCUAAUAUGAGUGUUGUCAGUAUUGUGUAAGUGACUGUGGACAACUUGUUUCUUUCAUCCUUUCUCCUACUGCUCCUCCGCCUCCGUCAUUUGGCCAUCCUUGUUUUCUUCUUGUUUUCUUGUUCUGAAUGUAUAAGUCUGACAUCUUUACUUCUAACCCAGAUUUCUCCUUCAUCUGUGGAAAUAAGAACAAACCCUUGUCCCAUCAUUAGUACCCUACCGGGUCCCUUCCAUAUACCAUCAAUGUCUUUCCACAUAGCUAACAUUCCAGAUUCAUGUAUAACUCUAGUAGUUUUAGUGGAAUUGUGAUGAGAAUCACUUGGGAUGAAAUACUUCAUAACCGGAGUGAGGUGUGUGUCACUGAAUUUAAAAUAAUUUAUUGUAUAAAUGCCUUGAUUCAAUCUGUGCCAAGGGGUCAACCCAGCUCCCCCUUUUUGUUUUUGCAACACCUCCUUUAUGGUAUGAUUGGCACGUUCCACAAUGGCUUGACCACGAGGAUUAUAGGGAAGGCCAGUGGUGUGAGAUAUGCCAAACUCACAACAAAAUUUCUUAAACCCUUGGGAAAUGUAAGCAGGGCCAUUAUCUGUUUUUAAACCAUGAGGGGCUCCAGCAAAAGAAAAGCAGUGAAGUAAGUGUGCAAUGACAUGUUUAACAGCCUCUGCAGACUGCGGAGUGGCAAAAAUAAAGCCAGAAUACGUAUCA